UUUGAAAUGAUGAUUUCUCGCAGAAGGUCGUGAAUGCGGCAUGUUUUCACCCUUCCGUCAUUCGUUGUCCCUGCGAUUUGAAUCAUGCUUCUAUUCAGGAGCUCAUUAAGGUAGUCCUCUGCAACUUCUUCUUGUGUCUUUCCUUCUUUGACUUCAACAAACCCCUCUGCAAUCCACAAUCUUAUCAGUCUCAUACUCUCAAUCAGAUGGUUCUCAGGGAAGAUGCUUAAAUACAAGAAACAAGAUUUCAAGUGGUACGGCAAAUCAUUGAAACUCAGCAGAAGGACUUCUUUGAAAUUCAUGAGUCUACUGUUGUCCUCAAUUUCAGCACCAAGGCUGAGGUAAACAGUCUCCCAUUCAGCAAUGGUACGUCUUUUUGUAGCCAAAACACCACCGAUUGCUACAAUUGCAAGUGGAAGUCCCUCGCACUUCUCCAAAAUACGUCUAGAAUGUUUCUCCAAUUCAGGAGGACAGGGUUCCUGCCGGAAACAUUUCUUACAGAAAAGAAUCCAGGACUCAUCCGGAGGUAAGGGCUCUAAAUUGAAGACCUUAUCUUCAGAUUCUAUGCAGGAGGUAGAUGCUACUCCAGAAUUACGUGUUGUGAGCAACACACGACUGCCACGAUCAUUGUUAGCCAAUGCGUAAUUGACCACGUCCCAUUCAUUCAUGUGCCACACAUCAUCUAAAACAAUCAAGUACCUCCUUCUCUGCAGGAAGUCCUUGACUACCCUUUUCAGAUCAUGAACCGAAUUCAUGUCAUUCACACGUUUAGGAACUGGCUUCCUGAUUGCAUCGAAGAGUUGCCGUACCAUAUUUCUUAGGAGCUCCUCUAUCUUGAAAGGACGGGAAAUAGUAACCCAAACAUGUACAUCAAAAUGUUUCUUCACAUUUGCAUUAUCAUAGACUUGCUUCACCAAGGUAGUUUUACCUGAUCCUCCCAUUCCAACCACCGAAAUCACCUUGCGCCCGGAGUUUCUCUCAACCAACCAGUUGAUCAGUUGCACUUUAGACCCGUCAAUACCUACCAAGUCAACGCUGUCUAGAAGGAGGGCAUCCCCUCUUCCGUCCAGCCAUGGAUUAUCUGUGGUAGUGGAGCUUGGGCCUAGCUCGAUUGUACCCUUACCGUCAUAAUUUGGACGCCUGGCAGAUAUGGUGUCGAUUCUGGAUCUGAUGCCUCGUAAUUUAGGAGCAAUCCGGUGCUGAGCUUUCAAUUUUUUUGUAAAGCAGCAAACAUUGUAUAGAAAAGCAUCAAUCCCAUGCCUACGGUCAUUGACAAGGUCAAGCUUGUAUUCAUCCAGGAUGUCUUCAAUGUCGUAGGCGAUCUCUCUUACUUGCUGAACCCAGACCCUGAGUUCCUCGUUGCUCUCCCCCAUCGAGUCUGCAACUCUCAGGACUGCCUUCAUGCUCUGCAACUCGUCCUUGAUGUACUCCACAUCUUCAGGAAUCCCUUGCGAAAGCUCCACCUCAUUCUGCAGAAAUAAUGUGAGGUUUUCAAGAAGAAAGGAUACUGCAAUUUCAGCCAUCGCCAAUUUCAAUGGAUUCGUCUUGAAAAUGAAAAAAAUAAAUAAAUUAAAGAAGGUAUUGUUA
This 1587-nucleotide long non-coding RNA is filed under the name Theobroma cacao (cacao). RNAcentral describes it as "long non-coding RNA (TCAC_LNC002209)". Lineage: Eukaryota; Viridiplantae; Streptophyta; Magnoliopsida; Malvales; Malvaceae. The record is from RNAcentral.